UCCCUGGUGGUCUAGUGGCUAGGACUCUUGGUUUUUACCCAGGUUCCCCAGGUUUAAUUCCUGGGCAGGGAA
Ovis aries (sheep) is the source of this 72-nucleotide transfer RNA. It matches the Rfam family "tRNA". Rfam says of the family: Transfer RNA (tRNA) molecules are approximately 80 nucleotides in length. Their secondary structure includes four short double-helical elements and three loops (D, anti-codon, and T loops). Lineage: Eukaryota; Metazoa; Chordata; Mammalia; Artiodactyla; Bovidae. The record is from Rfam.